RNAcentral lists this long non-coding RNA (356 nucleotides) under Cyanistes caeruleus (blue tit). Its description in RNAcentral is "lncRNA (ENSCCEG00000015677.1)". Lineage: Eukaryota; Metazoa; Chordata; Aves; Passeriformes; Paridae. The record is from RNAcentral.
AAGUUAUUGUCUGGAAUUUUCCACAGCUGGCUUCCCUUUGUGCAAUUCUUUCUAAACCACGACUGUGCCUUCUGAACAGGAUUGUGAAAUUCUGUUGUGUAGUUGUCAUCUAGUGGUGCUAUGGCAGUGCUGCUGAGCCUACACUCACAGUGGUUUGCUGCUCCUGAGGAAGAGGUGGCAGAGGUGACUUUGGCAGUGAACAGCACACAGGGUGAUGCAGGGCUGGCCCAGGGCAGCUGUGUCCAGCAGGAAAAGCAGUGUUCACGAGGAAAAUAUCACAACGUUGUGCUGUGAAGUUCAUGGUGCCUGCAGAUGAGAAGCCACAAUUAACACCUAUAUUUCCCCCUAGAGGCUGU